AUGUUGGUAACCCUUGGACUGACAUCUGGACAUGUCGAAAUCUUGGUGCUUGGUAAUGGCUGUAUCAUCUGUUCAGUUUUUCUCAUGCAUGUUUUCCUGCUCCUUGUUUUUCUAAGUUAUUGCUUUUGUGUUACGGGGUCUUGUAAAUGGUCUCGAAGGCUUCUUGCUGAACAAACCUCCUUAAGAUGUUUGGUCAUUCAGCAUUUCUUGCCUGGUUCCGGUGAAUCAAUUAUGCUCUGUUUGUCUUAUUUGUUUGACGCAGUUGACUCCAUUGUGCUGGAAUGUGCGAGUUUCCAAGUAUCAUGCAAUAGGUUUCUUUGUGUUUGGCCUUUUUCUGUUCUGAAGUUUAAAACUGAAGGAAUAUUCCCUCAGUUGUUUACGAGUUGUGUUCAGUAG
Molecule: ribosomal RNA, 396 nt
Filed under: Triticum aestivum (bread wheat)
Lineage: Eukaryota; Viridiplantae; Streptophyta; Magnoliopsida; Poales; Poaceae
Description: partial small subunit ribosomal RNA
Source: RNAcentral